This 406-nucleotide ribosomal RNA is filed under the name uncultured bacterium. RNAcentral describes it as "bacterial SSU rRNA". It matches the Rfam family "Bacterial small subunit ribosomal RNA", at positions 917 to 1322 of the family's 1533-position model. The record is from RNAcentral.
GGGCCCGCACAAGCAGUGGAGCAUGUGGUUUAAUUCGAAGCAACGCGAAGAACCUUACCAGGUCUUGACAUCCUCUGCCAGCUCUGGAGACAGAGUGUUCCCCUUCGGGGGACAGAGUGACAGGUGGUGCAUGGUUGUCGUCAGCUCGUGUCGUGAGAUGUUGGGUUAAGUCCCGCAACGAGCGCAACCCUUGAUCUUAGUUGCCAGCAUUAAGUUGGGCACUCUAAGGUGACUGCCGGUGACAAACCGGAGGAAGGUGGGGAUGACGUCAAAUCAUCAUGCCCCUUAUGACCUGGGCAACACACGUGCUACAAUGGGUGGUACAACGGGUAGCGAAGCCGUGAGGUGAAGCCAAUCCCAAAAAACCGCUCUCAGUUCGGAUUGUAGGCUGCAACUCGCCUGCAUG